Molecule: ribosomal RNA, 253 nt
Filed under: uncultured bacterium
Lineage: Bacteria
Description: partial 16S ribosomal RNA
Rfam family: Bacterial small subunit ribosomal RNA
Source: RNAcentral
UACAGAGGUCUCAAGCGUUGUUCGGAUUCAUUGGGCGUAAAGGGUGCGUAGGCGGCGCGGUAAGUCGGGUGUGAAAUCUCGGGGCUUAACUCCGAAACUGCAUUCGAUACUGCCGUGCUUGAGGACUGGAGAGGAGACUGGAAUUUACGGUGUAGCGGUGAAAUGCGUAGAUAUCGUAAGGAAGACCAGUGGCGAAGGCGGGUCUCUGGACAGUCCCUGACGCUGAGGCACGAAGGCCAGGGGAGCAAACGGG